UACGUAGGGUGCGAGCGUUAAUCGGAAUUACUGGGCGUAAAGCGUGCGCAGGCGGUUCGUUAAGUCAGAUGUGAAAGCCCCGGGCUCAACCUGGGAACUGCAUUUGAAACUGGCGGGCUUGAGUGUGGCAGAGGGGGGUGGAAUUCCGCGUGUAGCAGUGAAAUGCGUAGAGAUGCGGAGGAACACCGAUGGCGAAGGCGACCAUCUGGACCGGAACUGACGCUGAGGCGCGAAAGCCAGGGGAGCGAAUGGG
Molecule: ribosomal RNA, 253 nt
Filed under: uncultured bacterium
Lineage: Bacteria
Description: partial 16S ribosomal RNA
Rfam family: Bacterial small subunit ribosomal RNA
Source: RNAcentral